This 229-nucleotide ribosomal RNA is filed under the name uncultured bacterium. RNAcentral describes it as "partial 16S ribosomal RNA". It matches the Rfam family "Bacterial small subunit ribosomal RNA", at positions 28 to 253 of the family's 1533-position model. The record is from RNAcentral.
GACGAACGCUGGCGGCGUGCUUAACACAUGCAAGUCGAGCGGUAAGGCCCUUUCGGGGGUACGACGAGCGGCGAACGGGUGAGUAACACGUGGGUGACCUCGCCCUUACGCUCUGGGAUAAGCCCUGGGAAACGUGGGUCUAAUACCGGAUAUGACUCCAUAACGCAUGUUGUGGGGUGGAAAGCCUUGUGCGGCUAGGGAUGGGCCCGCGGCCUAUCAGCUUGUUGGU